GGAUCGCAGGCUGNAACCCGCCUGCGUGAAGUCGGAAUCGCUAGUAAUCGCGGAUCAGCAUGCCGCGGUGAAUACGUUCCCGGGCCUUGUACACACCGCCCGUCACACCAUGAGAGUCGGGAACACCCGAAGUCCGUAGCCUAACCGCAAGGAGGGCGCGGCCGAAGGUGGGUUCGAUAAUUGGGGUGAAGUCGUAACAAGGUAUC
Molecule: ribosomal RNA, 206 nt
Filed under: uncultured bacterium
Lineage: Bacteria
Description: partial 16S ribosomal RNA
Rfam family: Bacterial small subunit ribosomal RNA
Source: RNAcentral